This 460-nucleotide ribosomal RNA is filed under the name uncultured bacterium. RNAcentral's name for it is "partial 16S ribosomal RNA". It matches the Rfam family "Bacterial small subunit ribosomal RNA", at positions 338 to 795 of the family's 1533-position model. The record is from RNAcentral.
CCUACGGGUGGCAGCAGUGAGGAAUAUUGGUCAAUGGACGAGAGUCUGAACCAGCCAAGCAGCGUGAAGGAUGACUGCCCCAUGGGUUGUAAACUUCUUUUAUAUGGGAAUAAAAUGUUGUACGCGUGGGCUUUUGUAUGUACCAUAUGAAUACGGAUCGGCUAACUCCGGGCCAGCAGCCGCGGUAAUCCGGAGGAUCCGAGCGUUCUCCGGAUUUAUUGGGUUUAAAGGGUGCGUAGGUGGAUGGUUAAGUCAGGUGUGAAAGGUUGCGGCUCAACCGUAAAAUGGCAGUUGAAACUGGCAGGCUGGAGUGCGGUAGAGGUGGGCGGAAUUCGUGGUGUAGCGGUGAAAUGCUUAGAUAUCACGAAGAACUCCGAUUGCGAAGGCAGCUCACUGGACUGCAACUGACGCUGAGGCACGAAAGUGUGGGUAUCAAACAGGAUUAGAUACCCGAGUAGUC